GAUGAACGCUGGCGGCGUGCCUAAUACAUGCAAGUUGAGCGAACAGAUGAGGAGCUUGCUCCUCUGACGUUAGCGGCGGACGGGUGAGUAACACGUGGAUAACCUACCUAUAAGACUGGGAUAACUUCGGGAAACCGGAGCUAAUACCGGAUAAUAUAUUGAACCGCAUGGUUCAAUAGUGAAAGACGGUUUUGCUGUCACUUAUAGAUGGAUCCGCGCCGCAUUAGCUAGUUGGUAAGGUAACGGCUUACCAAGGCAACGAUGCGUAGCCGACCUGGGAGGGUGAUCGGCCACACUGGAACUGAGACACGGUCCAGACUCCUACGGGAGGCAGCAGUAGGGAAUCUUCCGCAAUGGGCGAAAGCCUGACGGAGCAACGCCGCGUGAGUGAUGAAGGUCUUCGGAUCGUAAAACUCUGUUAUUAGGGAAGAACAAAUGUGUAAGUAACUAUGCACGUCUUGACGGUACCUAAUCAGAAAGCCACGGCUAACUACGUG
RNAcentral lists this ribosomal RNA (497 nucleotides) under uncultured bacterium. RNAcentral's name for it is "partial 16S ribosomal RNA". It matches the Rfam family "Bacterial small subunit ribosomal RNA", at positions 28 to 507 of the family's 1533-position model. The record is from RNAcentral.